RNAcentral lists this ribosomal RNA (491 nucleotides) under uncultured bacterium. RNAcentral's name for it is "partial 16S ribosomal RNA". It matches the Rfam family "Bacterial small subunit ribosomal RNA", at positions 29 to 507 of the family's 1533-position model. The record is from RNAcentral.
GUGAACGCUGGCGGUAGGCCUAACACAUGCAAGUCGAACGGCAGCACAGUAAGAGCUUGCUCUUCCGGGUGGCGAGUGGCGGACGGGUGAGGAAUACAUCGGAAUCUACUUUUUCGUGGGGGAUAACGUAGGGAAACUUACGCUAAUACCGCAUACGACCUACGGGUGAAAGCAGGGGAUCUUCGGACCUUGCGCGAUUGAAUGAGCCGAUGUCGGAUUAGCUAGUUGGCGGGGUAAAGGCCCACCAAGGCGACGAUCCGUAGCUGGUCUGAGAGGAUGAUCAGCCACACUGGAACUGAGACACGGACCAGACUCCUACGGGAGGCAGCAGUGGGGAAUAUUGGACAAUGGGCGCAAGCCUGAUCCAGCCAUACCGCGUGGGUGAAGAAGGCCUUCGGGUUGUAAAGCCCUUUUGUUGGGAAAGAAAAGCAGCAGGUUAAUACCCCGCUGUUCUGACGGUACCCAAAGAAUAAGCACCGGCUAACUUCGUG